RNAcentral lists this transfer RNA (72 nucleotides) under Candidatus Omnitrophica bacterium CG1_02_49_10. Its description in RNAcentral is "tRNA-Thr". It matches the Rfam family "tRNA". Rfam says of the family: Transfer RNA (tRNA) molecules are approximately 80 nucleotides in length. Their secondary structure includes four short double-helical elements and three loops (D, anti-codon, and T loops). Lineage: Bacteria; Pseudomonadati; Candidatus Omnitrophota. The record is from RNAcentral.
GCUGGUGUAGCUCAACGGUAGAGCUCCUCACUUGUAAUGAGGAGGUUGGAGGUUCAAUUCCUCUCACCAGCU